Molecule: ribosomal RNA, 440 nt
Filed under: uncultured bacterium
Lineage: Bacteria
Description: partial 16S ribosomal RNA
Rfam family: Bacterial small subunit ribosomal RNA
Source: RNAcentral
CCUACGGGUGGCAGCAGUGGGGGAUAUUGGACAAUGGGGGAAACCCUGAUCCAGCGACGCCGCGUGAGUGAAGAAGUAUUUCGGUAUGUAAAGCUCUAUCAGCAGGGAAGAAAAUGACGGUACCUGAGUAAGAAGCCCCGGCUAACUACGUGCCAGCAGCCGCGGUAAUACGUAGGGGGCAAGCGUUAUCCGGAUUUACUGGGUGUAAAGGGAGCGUAGACGGCAGUGCAAGUCUGGAGUGAAAGGCGGGGGCUCAACCCCCGGACUGCUCUGGAAACUGUAAGGCUUGAGUGCAGGAGAGGUAAGUGGAAUUCCUAGUGUAGCGGUGAAAUGCGUAGAUAUUAGGAGGAACACCAGUGGCGAAGGCGGCUUACUGGACUGUAACUGACGUUGAGGCUCGAAAGCGUGGGGAGCAAACAGGAUUAGAUACCCCUGUAGUC